GGGUGUGAGCACUUGUCGUGAGAACAGCUCUCAGGAGCUGCUUCAAGUCUUUCGUCACAUGGGUCCCAGGAUCAACUCGGGUCACCAAGUUUGGCAUCAAGCACCUUUACCUCCUGAGCCUUCUCACUGGCCCCAAAUCAAUAUCAGUUGGCUUUAUUUUCUGUUCCAGAGUUGGUCAACAUUCCAUUCCACAAAACAGAGCUAGUGUUCCAGGGAUGUGAGCAAAGGGAGUUGCUACAGAGAGAAGGGCUUUGUGAAAAAGAAAAGGCUAGGCGUUCCUAGGACUAAGGAAGCUGAGGCUGGAGGAUCACCGAUUCAAGGUCAGGGUCGGUUCAGGCUUAUUCAGACCCUGUCUCAAGAAGCAGAAACAAAAACAAGUCACACAGUAGCCAUUUAAAACUCUGUGUUUGUACAGCGGCCACAUAGAGACAGAACGAUAUAGGAAAACACCUGAUCCGCUAACGUUAGGGAGCAACUCCCCACCCCCUGCAGGGUGCCCAGCUGGCCUUGAACUCCCUAUGAAGCCCAAGUUGGCCCUGAGGUCACAAUCCUCCAGCCUCUGCCUCUAGGACUGGGAUUCUAGGCAAGUACUACCACACCCAGCAGAGAUGGACUUUCUAACAAGGACGGCCACGGUGUGUCUGGUGCCACUGUCUGGGGCAGCAGAGGACCCACAUUUUUGAUACACAAAAGCAAAAUGGCCCACUCUCUAGUAUCAGCCCAGCCCCGUCCGUUUGGAGAGCGAAGCAAAGGGAGAAGGAGAGAAACGGUGACAGACUCGGGAACAGAAGUUGGCAGCGGGAAUGUAGCCAUCACCCUGGCACACGAAGGCAGCCAUCUAGAGCCCAGAGUUGUUUUGACUCAUCUCAGGAACCAAGCCCGUGUUUCUCCAAGGGGGAGAGACUCAGGCCCGGAAGAGCUCUGCUGUGUGGGUGCACCAUUGCACCUCUCCCGUGUGCAAGGCCCACGAGCAGCGGUGAGCAAAGUGCAGUCAACUUCUUACGGAGCUCAUACUCCCUGGAGUUCAGAAAACCACUGCAGAAAUGGGGCAGACAUGAUGCUGGUACCAAACUCUGGUGUGGUGUAAUCAAGAGGUCCUGAAACCUGAAGCCAACCUGACUCCUGCGGAAUCACUUCAGCUUGUAGAACCAUUGGGAUGUGCUGGAACCUCCAGAGACAUGGCCUCACAGAAAGAAAUCAGGUGCAGAGGGGGUGUCCUGGGCAGUACCUGAGACCCCGCCUUGUCCUGUGCUGUUUUCCAGCUGCAGGAGGUGAGCAGCUUUACUCUACCCCAUUCCCCACGGUUGUGAGGGGCUGCAUCACAGACCCAAGUGCAGUGGAUGUGGGACCACGGGCUGAAACUCCCAAAACGGUGGGCUCAAACAAGCCUGUCCUCCGAUUAUCCUGGACACUUCCAUGGUAAUGGAAAAGCUGGCUAACUCUUCAGCCCAAAGCCUGGCUCUUAAUACUCACAGAGUGACGGGGUUCAACAUACAAACUUUUCACAAGCAGAUCACGGUGUCCCAGGCAAUCACAAAGACCAGGAAGCACACACCACCUGACUUACUUAUUUUUGCCAGAUCUAUGGCUGCUCUGAUUUUAUUACAUCCAUGGGGGGGCGGGGGCGCGCAAGCCAUGGUACGUGUGGAACUUUCAGGAGUACAUUCUCUCCUCCUAUUAUAUGGGAC
Peromyscus maniculatus bairdii (prairie deer mouse) is the source of this 1688-nucleotide non-coding RNA. NCBI's taxonomy places the organism in Eukaryota, Metazoa, Chordata, Mammalia, Rodentia, Cricetidae. The record is from RefSeq and is a predicted model, not a curated record.